CAGUAGCCACGGUAAUACGGAGGAUCCAAGCGUUAUCCGGAAUCAUUGGGUUUAAAGGGUCCGUAGGCGGUCUUGUAAGUCAGUGGUGAAAGCCCAUCGCUCAACGGUGGAACGGCCAUUGAUACUGCAGGACUUGAAUUAUUGGGAAGUAACUAGAAUAUGUAGUGUAGCGGUGAAAUGCUUAGAGAUUACAUGGAAUACCAAUUGCGAAGGCAGGUUACUACCAAUUGAUUGACGCUGAUGGACGAAAGCGUGGGUAGCGAACAGGAUUAGAUACCCGUGUAGUCCCUGUCUCUUAUAA
RNAcentral lists this ribosomal RNA (301 nucleotides) under uncultured bacterium. Its description in RNAcentral is "partial 16S ribosomal RNA". It matches the Rfam family "Bacterial small subunit ribosomal RNA", at positions 509 to 809 of the family's 1533-position model. The record is from RNAcentral.